AGAGUUUGAUCCUGGCUCAGGACGAACGCUGGCGGCGUGCCUAAAACAUGCAAGUCGAACGUCCCCCUUCGGGGGGUAAGUGGCGAACGGCGGAGUAAUACAUGAGGAAGCUGCCUCGAAGACUGGGAUAUACGGUCGAAAGACCGGGCAAUACCAGAUGUGGCUCCAGAAGGGCAUCCUUUUGGAAUCAAACGGCGCAAGUCGCUUCGAGAGGCUCUCAUGGCCUAUCAGGUAGUUGGUGGGGUAACGGCCUACCAAGCCUACGACGGGUAGCGGGUCUGAGAGGACGAUCCGCUCGAGUGGGACUGAGACACGGCCCACACACCUACGGGUGGCAGCAGUUGGGAAUCUUGCACAAUGGGGGCAACCCUGAUGCAGCGACGCCGCGUGGAAGACGAAGGCCCUGGGGUCGUAAAUUCCUUUUGUCGAGGAAGACUUAGGACGGUACUCGACGAAUAAGCACCGGCUAACUACGUGCCAGCAGCCGCGGUAAUACGUAGGGUGCAAGCGUUGUCCGGAUUUACUGGGCGUAAAGCGCUCGUAGGCGGUUUGUCAAGUGUGAAGUGAAAUCUCCAGGGCUCAACCCGGAAACUGCUUCGCAGACUGGCAGACUUGAGUGACUCAGAGGUGGAUAGAAUUCCUGGUGUAGCGGUGAAAUGCGUUGAUAUCAGGAGGAAUACCGACGGCGAAGGCAGUCCCACUGGGAGUCUACUGACGCUGAGGAGCGAAAGCGUGGGUAGCAAACAGGAUUAGAUACCCUGGUAGUCCACGCCCUAAACGAUGGAUACUAGGCGUCGGAGGUUUAUACCCCUUCGGUGCCGCAGCAAACGCAUUAAGUAUCCCGCCUGGGUAGUACGGCCGCAAGGUUGAAACUCAAAUGAAUUGACGGGACCCCGCACAAGCGGUGGAGCAUGUGGAUUAAUUCGAUACUAACCGAAGAACCUUACCCAGUCUUGACAUCUAGUGUAAGCUCCCGAAAUGGAGCCCUCUCCCACAAGGAGACACGACGACACUUGUUGCAUGGCUGUCGUCAGCUCGUGCCGUGAGGUGUUUGGUUAAGUCCAGCAACGAGCGCAACCCUCGUUCUAUGUUGCCAGCGGGUCAUGCCGGGAACUCAUAGGAGACCGCCGGUGUAAACCGGAGGAAGGUGAGGAUGACGUCAAGUCAGCAUGGCAGUUACGACUGGGGCUUCACACAUGCUACAAUGGGCGAAACAGAGGGCACCGAUACCGCGAGGUGGAGGAAAUCCCAAAAAUACGCCCCCAGUUCAGAUUGCAGUCUGCAACUCGACUGCAUGAAGGCGGAAUCGCUAGUAAACGCAGGUCAGCUAUACUGCGUUGAAUACGUUCCCGGGGUUUGUACACACCGCCCGUCAAGUGAUCUGAAUUGUCUUCACCCGAAGUCCGUGGCCUAACCGCAAGGAGGGAGCGGCCGAAGGUGAGGGGAGUAAGGAGCACUAAGUCGUAACAAGGUAACC
Molecule: ribosomal RNA, 1477 nt
Filed under: uncultured bacterium
Lineage: Bacteria
Description: bacterial SSU rRNA
Rfam family: Bacterial small subunit ribosomal RNA
Source: RNAcentral